RNAcentral lists this ribosomal RNA (301 nucleotides) under uncultured bacterium. RNAcentral's name for it is "partial 16S ribosomal RNA". It matches the Rfam family "Bacterial small subunit ribosomal RNA", at positions 509 to 807 of the family's 1533-position model. The record is from RNAcentral.
CAGUAGCCGCGGGAAUGCGUAGGUGGCAAGCGUUGUCCGGAAUUAUUGGGCGUAAGGGGCUCGCAGGCGGUUUCUUAAGUCUGAUGUGAAAGCCCCCGGCUCAACCGGGGAGGGUCAUUGGAAACUGGGAAACUUGAGUGCAGAAGAGGAGAGUGGAAUUCCACGUGUAGCGGUGAAAUGCGUAGAGAUGUGGAGGAACACCAGUGGCGAAGGCGACUCUCUGGUCUGUAACUGACGCUGAGGAGCGAAAGCGUGGGGAGCGAACAGGAUUAGAUACCCGAGUAGUCCCUGUCUCUUAUAC